This is a long non-coding RNA of Varroa destructor (honeybee mite), 2586 nucleotides long. RefSeq lists it as uncharacterized. The record is from RefSeq and is a predicted model, not a curated record. NCBI's taxonomy places the organism in Eukaryota, Metazoa, Arthropoda, Arachnida, Mesostigmata, Varroidae.
UCUACGUUUUCCCGGUAUUCCUCCUGACUGGAUAACGAAGCACGAGCCAGCAGUGAUACGUGUAGAUUGCCCAUUUGGAAGUGGGCGAAAGGCAGGUGAGAGCGGUGACAGACCGUGGUUGAGGCGCGAACCUGGGUCGAUGCUCGCACCCAGCCAGAGGAUAGCAAUGUGAAGUCUCUCUCACCACACUGGAACCAAUGGAGUUCGAUAACUUUGGGGUAGCUGAACUCGCAAACAUAUAGCAUUUUAUGCACAUCUAUGCUCUAGAAGUCUCUCGAGAUCUCAAGUAUGAUUGUUUCCACGUAGGAUCGCAACGAUGAUAGGGAUGAAAGUGCCGAUGAGGAGAUAAACAGCGUCGGUAACGAAAGUCAUGCAAGAUUUAGGACCGAGAAACGCACAGAGGCCUAGGUGACCAGACUUCGUAACACGAGAGAUCAGCCGAUUGCGUUUUUCAAAGAAUCAUAACACGAACGGGGGUAGUGCUUGAGGAGAAGAAAUCCCGACGGGAAAAGCGCAGAUUCUUGAAGAAAGACACCUAGCGCUCGGUGCCGGGCAACGGCGCGGUAUUCCUCUCCCUGUUUGUCUCCUUGGCGCAAACCGCAGUGUUGAAGCGGACUCAUACCCAGGCACAAUGUCAGGAAAGCACCAAUGAAAUGACGAAGGCAACCAGCAUCGAUAUCUCCACCAACGUCCGUUCACUAUUCACCAACUCACGUGCAUUCGCUUGCGGCCUCAUCGAGUGACUGACUGACUGUGCACCCGUAGUGAAGGAUUCCGGCUUACAGCAGUAGCGACAUACGGCCUCGAUGAUGACAGUAUUAUACGAGGCACCAAGACGCCGACGCAAUAGCCAGAGGAGCGACGCGGAUGGGAGCGGAGACCCGACCAGCUGCUGAGAACGAGCAGUGAGUGGCUGGCUGGGUGGGCGAAGGAGUCAAGCCAGUCAACCAACGGACGGAUGUGGGCUAUCUACCACGCGCGACAGCGAUGACAACAAACGACUCCGAUGACUGCCACUGGGCCUAUAACAACUGCUUCUACCACCGCACGAGUCGACCUCAAAGCAGAAGGGGGAAGAGCAGUAACCGGAAAUGAAGAUUCGAAUUUGGUGGUGCCUUUCCUAUCCCCCUCAUUACAUUUACUCGUUCAGUCGACUUUGUAUUCUGACUUUUCCCAGCCGCGCAAACUGCUCUCAUCCAGGAUGCGGCUGGCGGGCCAUGAACGUUACCAACUGCUACGAGAGCGUAGCACCAAUAGUUCAGAUACAGAAUGACAGGAUCGGCUCGGAGUUCAGUUUGACAACGUAUCGCAAACGAAAAGUCGAUUGUGGAGGAAACUUUUGAAAUGCUGGUUGAAUGAGUGAACUUAACGGGGGAGUAAUGGGCACCGAUGGCAGCGGCGCAAGUAGCAGGAGAAAUGGUAACUGAGACGGAAGCAAGCGGGCGGGUAACUUGGAUUUCUGGCUAAAUUUUUCGCGAAUAUGUGGAGCGCGUUGGUAGCACGAUACAUAUGGGCAGCGGAUUAUAGAGAACCGGGUUGCUCGCAAAUGAUAGUGUGUGCUCUAAGAAAAUGGCCGAACGAACUAAAACUCGUCCUAUAUGGCGGUGACUUAUCCAACGCGGUGAAAAGCGUGAAGUAAGCUAGUAAAUCGUUUUGGAGCCAUAUCGGAAUAAUUACAAUUAGAGCUAAUAUUAAGCUGGAUAAUAAGUUGCCACGUCUUUUUACUGAACUGAAAGUAUUACUUCACAAUCCGCCCAUGACGAUAGGUUAUUAUACUAUGUAUCCCCCGUCAUUGUUCACAAAUUUCUCCAACCUUUCGAUCGAAUAAUAGAUGACAUUUUGCUACAAGGUAGCGGGUCUUGUCUUGGAAAAGUUUUCCAAGUACGUUUUGAGCUAUUGAUAUGUGUCGAAGAUAGGGCCACAACGGUAAUUCCCCGUUGAAAGAAAAAGGUAAAAAUCCAUCCCGUAAAAUCCGCAAAGUAUAGAGGAUGCAACGAAGCCUUAUAUCUGAAAUCCAAAGAAGCAGAUUUGUGGUAUUAUUUGAUAUUGCCUAGUUAACGGAAUUGAGCCAAAUAAUCGACUGUCUCGUUCGGAUGAAACAAUUUCCAGUGAAUUAGGCCUUUGCAAUUCUAAUAAAUGCCAGACAUAAUUUUUUUAAAGAAGUUCUAGUUAGCUCCUGAGACCUCGGCUUUUUUUCUGAUUUCCUGUUUUCCUGAGAAACGACUUAAAUUUUUGGUUUACAUCAUUUCCCAUUACCGGUGACAAUUCAGAAUAGGAAUCGAUCAUUGUGGCUGCAUAACGCCCGAUAUCGGACGAGAUGUACUGAUGUAACGUUGCACUGUAAUUCUCUGUUGGAUCGUCUGUAAGGUACCUACGCUUGGAGUUUUUGUGUGAACCUAAAAGACUUGAAGUAGUUAACAACAGCCUUGAGGCUUCAGCCCAUCUCUUCGACUAUUUCCGGGGCCGUUUCUCGGCCGUCAUCCUUCAAAGGUGCUUUCAGAAACCUCAAGUCGAUCAUAAAAGAGCACAUACUCUAGAUUUUUGAUGCUAUUUUCGAACAUAAUAAACCAUUCUUGAGCAGUCUUU